Oncorhynchus mykiss (rainbow trout) is the source of this 264-nucleotide long non-coding RNA. The record is from Ensembl. NCBI's taxonomy places the organism in Eukaryota, Metazoa, Chordata, Actinopteri, Salmoniformes, Salmonidae.
AUGGCCUUGGAGCUAAAUAAAGGCAGGCCCGUCUUAGAGGGGAUCCCUGGGGGGAAAGAGACGAGCAUAGGUUCCUCCCAAGAUGCCACCCGCUUCAUUCAAGUGUCUGGCAGCACUGUGUUCCUGUUAGAGCCACCAGCACAAGCACCAGACGAUGCUGAUCCAGGUGAAGGCCCCAGUGCAGCAGCAACAGCACAUGAUGGAGACGAUGAUGAGGAGGAGACCAUCUCUCUGGAUUCCAGAAGGCAUGAGGUAUCAUGUUAA